This 459-nucleotide ribosomal RNA is filed under the name uncultured bacterium. RNAcentral describes it as "partial 16S ribosomal RNA". It matches the Rfam family "Bacterial small subunit ribosomal RNA", at positions 338 to 795 of the family's 1533-position model. The record is from RNAcentral.
CCUACGGGUGGCAGCAGUGAGGAAUAUUGGUCAAUGGCCGGAAGGCUGAACCAGCCAAGCCGCGUGAAGGACGAAGGUGCCAAGCAUUUUAAACUUCUUUUGUCAAGGGACAAAAUCAGGCUCGAGAGCCUGACCGAGGGUACUUGAAGAAAAAGCAUCGGCUAACUCCGUUCCAGCAGCCGCGGUAAUACGGAGGAUGCGGGCGUUAUCCGGGUUUAUUGGGUUUAACGGGUGCGUAGGCGGGCUGUUACGUCAGCGGUCAAAGCCCGGGGCUAAACCCCGGCGGGACGUUGAAACUGGCUGUCUUGAGAUGUCGAGAGGUAAGCGGAAUGCGCGGUGUAGCGGUGAAAUGCUUAGAUAUUGCGCAGAACUCCGAUUGCGAAGGCAGCAUACCGGCGGCGAUCUGACGCUGAGGCACGAAAGCGUGGGUAUCGAACAGGAUUAGAUACCCGUGUAGUC